RNAcentral lists this ribosomal RNA (789 nucleotides) under Rupestrella rhodia. RNAcentral's name for it is "partial large subunit ribosomal RNA". The stretch from base 255 to 502 matches the Rfam family "Archaeal large subunit ribosomal RNA", at positions 1784 to 2143 of the family's 2987-position model. The record is from RNAcentral. Lineage: Eukaryota; Metazoa; Mollusca; Gastropoda; Stylommatophora; Chondrinidae.
AGCUAAAAUAAUUUCUGGGCGGUGAAAUUCCAACAUUUUUUAAGAUAGCUGGAUAAGAUAUAAAAGUAUUAAGUACUUAAAUCAAUUAUAAAGUGAUAAGAUUUUAUAACUAAAAAAAUUUUCUUUUAUUUAUUUUAUUGGACUAACCUCCUAAUAUAAAAAUAUUUUUACAUAAAUUAGAAUUUGGUUUUUGUGUUUUAUAUAUUAAAUUAUAAAAAUAAAUUAUAUAAUUUGUUAAUGUUUAAAUUAGUAAUUACACUAAAUUAAAAUAAGGAACUCGGCAAAUAAAGUUUUCGACUGUUUAUCAAAAACAUAGUUUAUUGUAUUUUAUAUUAGAUUGAAGCUGCCCAGUGAUAUAUUAUUUAACGGCCGCAGUACCUUGACUGUGCAAAGGUAGCAUAAUCACUUGGCCUUUAAUUGGGGUCUAGUAUGAAAGAGAGAACGAAGACUAACUGUCUUAUUUAAAUUAAUGUGAAUUUAUAGUGCAAGUGAAAAUACUUGCAAUUUAAUAAAAAAGACGAGAAGACCCUUAGAAUUUUGAAAAAAAAUUAUGCAGCUUAUAAUUUUUAUUUUUGUUGGGGCAACAUAGUAGCACACAUCAUUCGAGAAAUCUACUUAAAAUAAAUAUAAGAUUAAUCAAUUUAUAAUAAAUAUAAUUAAAUUACCUUAGGGAUAACAGCAUAAUUUUUUAAAGAUUGUGACCUCGAUGUUGGACUAGGAACUUAGUUAUUUAGCCGAUUACUUAAGCAUGUUCUGUUCGAACAGUUUUACCUACAUGAUCUGAGUUCA